GACAGAGGAGCCAAGCGUUGUCCGGAUUGACUGGGCGUAAAGCGCACGCAGGCGGACGCGCGCGUGGGGUGUGAAAUCUGGCCGCUUAACGGCCAGGCGCCAUCCCAUACGGCGCGUCUGGAGUGAUGCAGAGGUCGAUGGAAUUGCCGGUGUAGUGGUGAAAUGCGUAGAGAUCGGCAGGAACACCCAGGGGGAAACCAGCCGACUGGGCAUCUACUGACGCUGAUGUGCGAGAGCGUGGGGAGCGAACCGG
Molecule: ribosomal RNA, 253 nt
Filed under: uncultured bacterium
Lineage: Bacteria
Description: partial 16S ribosomal RNA
Rfam family: Bacterial small subunit ribosomal RNA
Source: RNAcentral